Ooceraea biroi (clonal raider ant) is the source of this 10435-nucleotide long non-coding RNA. RefSeq lists it as uncharacterized. Lineage: Eukaryota; Metazoa; Arthropoda; Insecta; Hymenoptera; Formicidae. The record is from RefSeq and is a predicted model, not a curated record.
UACUUGCAGGAGAUACAACGUAAUUUCGAGUUACAUCGAGUUACGUCGAGCUGCAUCGAGAGAUAAUCGAUCGGCGGGACGCAUUAAAAACGCCAGUUCCGACGAAUGUAAAUUAUUAAGCUGCUUAUUUUUCCAGCUCGGUGUGCGCCCGAUAUGCCGAAGUUUUGUUCUAAGUGGCACUUUUAAUUACUAACCGCAGGCGCAGGGCUAGGUACUUUCGUAUCGCGAGUGCACCUCGCGUGGGCAGCCGUGUAAUGCAAUUAGCCGGACGCAUCGAGCGAUCGCGUGGGAGAAGAAGGCGAGCUAGCGGGACGAUGCGUGACUCGCUCGUUAGGUCGUAGAUGAAUUUGUUGGGCUUGUUUUCAAGCUCGACCGUAAAACUCGAUGCUGCUCUUAUCCGCGUAUCGCCAACCUCGUUAAUUCGGAAGAGAGCUAAAAUCAACGAGAACGAUAAAACUCAGAUAAGGUUUCAGAUAUCGUUAUCUCCCCGUAGGAGAGAGCAACAAGGAUCUGCAACCAUUACUCCCUUCAUUUAAUGAGCGUCUCAAUUAGAGCCGAGAGUAAGUGGAGUCGACCUGAGACGUUGUGACCUGUGAAGACCUACGACCUAUCCACGUCCUUCGGAACCGCUUUUAAUGAAUGACUCGCUGCAUCGCGCAUCCCCGACGCUAGCCUUCUGCGCGUGGCGAAAAUGCGAGAUAUCGUGUCGCGCAUUGAUGUCACCCGGAAUGGAAAUGCAGACAUCUUACGAACAAUGCCAUAUUGUUUAGUCUCAAAGUUGCGGAGAUUUCUCGAACGCGAUAAAUAAAUGCUAAUCGCAUUGACUCGUGAGCACUUUAAAAAAUUCUUUUUUGAAGAUCUACGAGCAGUUUCUUUCGUUUCCUCGCGAGAUAUUAAUCUAAAAAUAACUACGUGCAUUUUAGAUUCUACUUGUUCGUUCGAACUGUUCGUUUGAUAUAACAUUAAACGUUGUGAGAGUCUCAGCACACUCGAAGAGACAGUUCUUCGUCUCGGCGACACGGCCGCGACGAUGCUCCUCGCGUUGCCGAUAGCGAGUUGCACACGUCGCUCUCAAUAAUUUAUGAAUUCUAUCUUCCACCGCGAACUAUCUCUGCGCGAACCCCAGAGGAGAUACUCGUCGGGACCUUGUGACGAUCUUAGCAAAAUAUAAUACGUAAUAAUACGACGAAGCAAAAAAAGUCGAGUGAGCGUAAUAACGAAAGAGAUCACUUUUAAACGACGAACCACUAUGCGAUAUCGAUGUCUAAUUUGAUCUUUUAACUCUUAUGCACUCUCAUUAACUUGUGUCAAAAUUCGAGUUACUAACCUGACGAAAACAUUCAUUAAAACGACGAAGAUUAGAUUACGUAUAACUUUAUCUGAUUUGUUUACUUCUCUCGAUAAUAUAAAAGUGAAUUCAUAAAUCGAUCUCUCGCCGCUGCACGAGUACUUCAUAAUAAGAAAUAAAAGUAAAAUAGCUUUAGUAAAUAAUAUUUUAUAGUGAUAAAUAAAUUAUGCGAAAAGUAACGAAAUGAAAAUGAGAUUAAAAUCCGUGCGCAGUGCAUACCUCGGUGCCUUUUUCUCUCGUGAACUCGCAGACGGAUCGAUAAUGAGAACAGGAGAGAGAGAGAUGAAAAGUGAGAGAGAAAAGAGGAAAAAGAGGAUGAUAAGGAUGAAGAAGGGAGAAGAAUUAUUGCGAAGUCAGGAUACUUCUCGGAUGCUCUAGCGGAUCAUUCGAGUGCGAUCGACCUGUGAAAAGGGGGUGGAAUUUAACCCUUCGCCGAGCGGAUCCAUUUCCAGCAAAGAUUCCACUCGAUUCGCUUCCCGCGUAAUUCGAUUCAUUUUUAAUUCCGGACUAAUCGUUCUCUCCAAGAUGGCUCGACGACUUUUUAAUUUACCAGCCUCGACGACGCCUGGGCGCGUUUCGCGUCAUAUAAUUUAUUUUUUUUUACAUUUCACGCUUAUCCGUUAAUUCGUAAUCCUCGGAAUACCUCGCUUCGCGCGAACAAAGCCGCUCGGCCCGGUAUCGCAGUUUUUCUAGCCGGAGAAACUACAAUGAACAUGCAGAAUCAUCCUUCGGCAUGUUUCCCAAUUACACCGUUCGCCUUUUGUUCUCACGAGUAUGGUGCUGGCUCGUAUUAUAGUUGAAUUGAAGUGCGCGGCCGUAUGCAAGUAUUAUAUGAAAUACACGUGCGCGCAUAUGUGAUGCAGCGGAGUCAAGAUGCUGCAUCACAUAUGAAGACACUCCAAGUUGGCAAAAGGGCAAACGAUACUAAAAUAACUGAGUAUUCGAAGUCUCUCUAUACGCGUGUGUAUUCACAACCUCGUUCCUAUCGAUUAACUUUGGCAUUUCGAUAGAAGUUGUGGAAUACAUGUGCGCUAUCGAGAGGAUGCCUCAGUACCUAUUAUAUUCGCUCAGUACCUAUUAUAAAUAAACGCGUAAUUGUAUGCGCACAAGACUUUCUUCUGGCUAAGUACGUCUCGUUAUAAUAUUCCAGGUCUGAACUUUGUUAAUAAAAAAGAUCCGAAAGUUAAAGUAACAUGUAACUUCACGCUUUAUCUACACUUCGAUCUACUUGUUUUUGUUUUAUUCUUUUUAUUCUUAAUUUUUUGAUGAUGUAUUUAUUAACUGCAACGCUCAGAUCUUAUUAAAAAGAAUGCCAGAGAGCAUAAAAGAUUAAAGUUUUAUUGUAUAACUUCUCUUAUCCGUGUUUUGCCCUGUGCUGCGAGAUGAAGUAAUUUACAUUUAAGAGGCAGUCUUUUAGAAUGAAGCCGGUGCUUAAUGAACACCAUUUAGAUGAAGUUUUUCUGGAGAGUAUUAUCUCAGAAGAAGCAACGCCGUGCUGUUCCACUUAUAACAACGUUUAUUUAAACGCAGAGAUAUCCGGACUUCUACAUGCAGCUAUGGAAGUUAAUUAAUUUAAUUACUUCUUUGGAAAAAUGUGGUACGUGACCGCACGAAAUGUUAAAAUGAUUGAUCACGAACUGAACAAGACGAUAUUAAUCGAUAUUAAGAAAAAACAUAAAAAACAUAAGCAUGAAUUUGGGAGAUGUGGGAACUUGUAUCAAGUUUCGUAAUUCUGCGCGGACAAUUGCGCUUUAUAACUGAAACGGUACUUUGCAUAAUUGAAUUUAAGUAUACUCUGAACGCCAAUUGUGGCUUUGCAUGGUCAGUGUGCCAAGAUCGCACGGAACAAUGAACGUUACACUAUGCGAAAUCCUCUGGCACCGCGCUCGUUGCCGCAGCUGCUCCGGUAACUUAUGAAUUAAACACUCUCCAUUGAUAUUAAGUCAAUAAAACCAUACUGACGAUCGUUACGUUGUAUUACUAACUUCUCACUAUUGUUCCAACGGAGAGAUUAAAGGAAUCGCAAGAGAUGAAAGAAAAUGUUUCACGGAGUUUGAUAGAAGAGAUUAAAGAAAAAUACAACGACUCAGCAAUAUAUCAUUAAAUAUCAUAAAAGCAUAAAGCACACGUAUGCACGCUUGUCUCCGUAAAAGAAACACUUGCAUUUAUCGAUUCAUUUACGAAUCGAUAUAUCCGCGUCGAGAGAUGCGGACCAACAAGCACCGCUCUCCUUUCAUUCGGCCUACAUUGCGUGCGUUUAAGGACACGUAAACGAGAAUCCGGUGCAAAGUGAAAGCAAAAGUUUCGUACUUGUAAAAGCGAGAGGAGGAUGCGUUCUCAACGAGGUCGACCAAUGCCAAGUUCAAGGUCGCCUAACGUGUCAGAACCAACUUCCGUAUCGUACGCAUUUGCAUCAUGGCCCGUAUACAGGCCCGUGCACCUGUAAAGCCCAGGGGGCUUGACGCCCACGACGCCUGACGCCCACGUGGUCCGUCGGGAACUGGAGUUAUAAAAUUCAAAAAAAUCUUCAGAGACCUCGAAUUUACCGGUAGAUCAAUUCCAUCCAUAAAGUCGCCUUUAUCCUUAGUAACUCGUGAUAAUUGUCCUUAUAUUUAAUGACCCUCCAUUUCAUCAUCGAGUGCUAUCGCGCAAUUAAUAAAAGUAAAAGUGAAAAUCACCCUACUAAAGAUGCUCUUUAAACAUACAUUUAAUGACAGCAUGAUAAAACUGCUUUAUCUCUACGAACUCUCAGCACUCGACGUGACAAAUUCGACUAUCACUUCAAAUUAAGCCUAAUUAAAGAAAAGUUAAAGAAAAAAACAGAGAGUCUCGUCGACUUUUUACGAGCGUACCGAUUAAUCGCGAUUUACACGUGACUCGUCCGACAAGUUCCCAGUUCCCAGGAGGUACCUUGAGCAACAGCACCUGGCACGCAGGUGAUUCGGCCCAUGUAGUCCUUCUGCGAGCUCGUUACGUAAACGAUCGUGCGAGUCGCGAGGCAGAACGUUCGCCGGGAGAUAGGGACGAACUUAAACGUCGACGCUUGAUCUUCCUCCAUGCUCAAUCUCGAGUUCUCUUACCGGCCCGAAUGGUUAAGUAAGCUUAUGUAAUCGGCGAGCGUUUCACGAGCGUACGUAUCUCGCACGCGGGUUUCUCACGAACGCGCUUUUCUUGCGCGUGCAUUACGGCGUUCUUGUGUCUUGACGCGCAUAAAAUGGAGAAAUAAGGACGACAACAACCGUUUAUGCAAUCGAGCAAUCGAUCCGAUUCGUCGAAAGACUGUUAAUACGAAUUCGUCACAGCAACCGGCUAGUUGAGACCGACUUGAACGUUGCGAUUAUUAACGUAGGAUUGCAAGUCCCUUUUGUCUGAACGCCAGCAAGGCGACCAUCAGAUUUUAAUAGCGCGUACUUAUACGAGCGCAUUAAUUCCAUGGACGUGCACGUGCGGGACCGCGACUCGUCACUUGCAAUCCUCUCGACUAAUCCGCACGCUGACGCCGCUUUUUGCUUGAAAACACGGCGUGCCAUCAAUAUUAUCUGCAUGCUCUCGUACUGUCCGUGCUUGCAGAACACCUGCUUAAUUCUUUUCAAUUCAUACUUGAUUCAUUGGGUCUAUGUUCGUGUUGGUGAUUAAUAGGAUGCCAGAUUCCUUCAACGGCUUUGUCAUAAAUAUCUCAGAGAGAGGCUCUCGUUCUUAAUGAAUAAAACUUCAAGCCUGAAAGGCGGGAGCACGCAUAAACGAUUAUGAGCUGAAUUGGCGUAGAUUGAGGACAGCCCGCGCUGCUCGCCGUCAAGAACAUCGCGAUUGAAAGUGGAAACACAGCGCGCAAUUAAAGCGGAGCGGCAGCACUGCCAGCAGCAAUAAAAUUCCAUUCGACGUCGCAACUUGGAGGCGAACGCGCGUGCUCGCUCACUCGCUCGAAAGAAUUAACGGGGCGAGUAAUCGCGUAACCUCGCGAAUACCAUAAGAGCACCGCGAUCGCGAAGAAGAGGGAAGAAGAAAAAGAGCCCACGAAGAACUACGCACAUGCGGCGACGUUUCCACGCGAGCGGGGAGGACCUAGAUAGAUCAACACCGGCGGCAACGACGCCGACCGCUGCAUUCCAUCGUCGUAAAAGUGCUCGAGGAGCUCCAAGGACUACGAGUCGGCGGCGGCGAGCAGAAGGAGCAGCGGCGGGGCGGAGAGGGGCGAGGGGGAAGCGAAAUUCAAAAAGGGAAACUCCGCGGCGGAGGGACACGAUGAGGAAUGCCGGCUGCUUGUCGCAAUCCUCUUGGGCAAUCGCCCUCGAAACGAUGAACGGAACAACGCUACACGCGCCCGCCGCACCUCGCCGAGACGCUAAUUACGAGCAUUACCGGCGCGAUUAGUUCUCUCGACGCUCUUUAUGCAUCGAAAGAUAAAACUCGUUAAUUAUUAGCGUAAGUUCGCGAGCGUCUCAGAUUUUUUGAGCGAUUUCUAUAUCCAGAGGCGACUCUGUGCAUAAGGACUGCAACGAUCGCCGGUAAUUAAUGCGCAUCGUUAUGGCGAGCCAUUCUAGCUUUCAAUGGCUUUCGCGCAUGAAUAACUUGUAGUAAUAAAGCAACGCCUCUCCGUCGCACUGGCGCAAAUAGUGCACGGAGAAUAAAUGUGCAACCAUCAGACGGUUAUGCGUAAUUACGAGUAAUGAAUCUUCCCGCUUGUCGUUGUAUUAAGCAUGCUGGGCUAGAGUUCUUGCAAGUAGAAUUUUAAAUCGAAUGUUGUCGAAUCACGGUUUCUUCGUGAAUUUAAAGAAAUUUUGUAAAUUUUAUCGAUUUUAAAUUUUUUAAAUUCGAAAAGAAACCGGCAAACGAGAAAUGGAACUGCGUAAUGCAUAGAGCAAAUGAUUCGAGCAGCUGCCGAGGUAGCACCUUAUCGGGUUUACCGCACGACGUGUCUAUCCUAUUUUAGAUCUAUGUCAUUCACACAAAGCGGUUUCAGUUUAUUUAGUCGUUUUCCACGAACAGAUGGCUAACUAGAACGCCAUAGAAAGUAUGCGAAAUGAGAAAUCAAAAUUUCAGUUGAUAAAUGACAAGCAUUUGAUGGCAAACGUGUCAAAAAGAUAAACGAAUUACUCGUUUUUCGAAAUUUUUAUCGAAUAUUUUAUGUGGUAAAGUGUAUUUCUAUUUAUUGCAAUUCGGAGUAGCGAUUUUCGAAACGAAAGAAAAUUGAGAAUUCUGUGAUUAAUUUAUCAGCGAGAUACGAGAGUAAUGGAAACGAAAUAUCUCGUUUUUCUCGUAUAAGUAGCGGGAAAUUCUAUCUUUUUGAUAUCUAAUUACAAUAAAACAAUUUCAUUUCAUCAUUUAUCACGCGUGAUAGCGGAACUUUCUGCCGUUAUUAAAAUCACGCGUGAAUCUUUCGUCAAAUAUAAAACAAAUCAUUAAUUUCUCCCUUCAAUGAGAAAGAUCAAGGGAGGGAGAUAUUUCUUGCUCUUUUUUAAUCUUCCAACAGUCAUAUACGAGUAUGAAAAAUCUGAUUACAGUCAAUAAAUAUAAUCUGGCAUAAAAUAUGUACUCAAUUUAUCAUGUUUUUUUUUAACUUAAUUCAGCGUGCGAUAAAUUUAUCGACUUGUAUAUAUUAAUACUACAAAAUUAUAGCGAGCGAAACAUAUAGCGAAACAUCGCAACGCCUAAGGGCUUCGACCGAUACAAAUGCAGAUAUUGCCGAUCGCAAUUGCAAAUUGCAUCUGUGGCCCGGCUGCUCUCCUCUCCUCGUACCGAUUACAUCGCGCGUGGGAAAUAAUUGACGUUGGCCGCGACUGCCAUCCUACGACCUGUUUAACGGGUAAAAACACGAACUCGCUAGGCUAGAUUGUAAAAUUACGCGCAACUGGGUCAAUCCGCCGUCCACGUGUUAUUACACGCGCGCGGUGCCAGCGCGUCACGCCGACUGCUACGCGCUGAAAGUGCCGGACCUGUUCUAAGUGAUAAAAGUGUAAUCAAGGUUGACCAGCGGCGGUGGCGGCGACGAUCGAUCCCUUUGCAUAAAUCGUAAGAUUAACUCGCGCGGUGGCGCGGAGGAAACUGCGAAAUAAUCAAGGCUAACUGUAACUCGGACGGCGCGUUUUCUCAAGACCUAGAAUCGGCGAACCUUAUGUUUGAAGUAACAACACACGGACACCUGGUUGCGCCGACGUUGAUCAAUCACGACUAAUCACGGUUUUGAUCGCCGGCUCCCGUACUUCACCUGCGUUAUAGACGCAGUGCGUGAUUAUAAAUAAUAUCUUUACGUUCACGUGCAUCCGGCCUUUUUCAAACUGAAAAGCUCGUACGUUCGAAUUUUUCUAGCAGCCCCCGAUAACCCUGUUAUCCAAUCUCGACGAAAACAACCCGUGUGUGUGCAGUAUCAGCGAUCAGCAUUGCGCUCGGAAUUGCUUGGCGACGUUCCUAAAGCUCCUGGCGUCUCUUCUAAAGAUUCUAGUUUAAAAUUCGGAAUAAAAAAGAAAAAAAGGCGUUAAUUUGACCCGCGCAGCUGCUAUCAGGACCGACAUUGCCUCUCGCUCACCGAGGGAAGUGGGAGGCAAAAAGGAAAACUAAAUUGGAUCUAUAAAGAGGCAACAAAACGGAACCAUAAUGAUACACCGAAGAAGCACCGAUGUCCCAACCCUCUCGUCGCCGCCGCCACCGCCGUUGUUUUCCACCCGGCACUUAGUGGAAACAACAAAGUGCGUGUCCCAGGCACGCGCGCUCGCGUGCCGAACGGGCGUGUGAGAACGGCGUGUCGUGCGUGUGAAUCCGCGGGGCAGCGCGCGUGUGCCGCGCGGCGACGUUAAUGUUUGCAAUCACAAGUUGGAAAGUUUUGUGAUGGCAACCGCUCCGCCGGCCAGUUACCCUGGUAACGCUUUGUUGUGCCAUUGUGCCGAGCGGAGGAAGGGACGGUCGGGAGAAAUCCACCCCCGUUCGGGCGAACCGUCCCCCGUACGGUCGCCCGCCUCGCCGCGCCGAGAAAUUGGAUGAAACGGCCGAGCUAUCCCCCUCCGAACCCUUAACCCCUCGAUUGCCACACGGGGAACGAAGUAACCCCGGCUUGACCUAGCCCAAACUACCUACCCCCCCCCAGGCCCCAGUGCAGAUGACGAAUAAGGGGCACGCGUUUUCCUCUGGACCGACUCGGUCGGUUAUUCUCGUUUUCGUUUACGCGAUCGAGGAUUGUGAAUAAGUAUUGGUAUUUCUGGAAUGUUUCUUGUUGAUUCGUAGAGAUUAUUCGUUUUAUUGAUGUUGAAGGUCUACAAAUAUACGUAAUCGAUAUGCGUACCUUGUAUAGGUAUUGAAUACAAAUUACUCGGUUUUGAAAAAAUGAUCUCGCCAUCGGUCCGCGAUUACUUUGCGCUUCGACCAGACGCGAGUCAGUCGUUGCAAGUUCAUGAAGGUAUGCUUAGACGCAAAAACAAGGCCAGAAGAGGAAAGAAGAGAGAGGAUAGGAUUCCGAUCCAAGCGAGCGUUUACGCGAUCGAUUUAAGUCAAUGCGGUGUUAUUAACGCAAAUGGAAUUGACAUCGCGAGAUGGAUAGACAAGAGAAUUCGAAUUGUAUCACUUGGAAAAGCACGGCGCGUCACGAGCGAUUGCCCGCACGAUAAAAAUGCCUUCCAGAUUGAACUAUUAAUAGAAUUGUUGCUCAGGGAAUUCUCAGAACGCGCCGCGUUCACGUAUAUUCCGGCAUCACCAAUGUACGACACAUACACGAUUUUCCUCCGAUUUCCAAUAGCUUACUCGAACGGCUAUCACGUAAUAAAGACAGUUUCCAACGUGACAAGAAGAAUCUGACAUGGACACUAUUUUCCUCUGACACCACGACAGUUUCAAUGCGGAAAAAAAAUAAAAACGGAUACUCUGAAACCAUCGCACAUAAAAUGUAUCCGAUAUGGAUUUAUUGGUGGUAUACCGUGAAUAUCCUGUUUGGACGUGCGUGGAAAAAGCUUCCUAUUUCUCUAUUUAGCGAGGAAAUCUCCAGUAAGCAGGAAACAUAAAUCAACAUUGUGAACCGAGCGGUUUGUUACGCUUGCUCACAUCGACGGAACGUAAAAUGCUUAUUAGCGGGAGAAAAAUUGUUAAUCCUCGAUAUUAAUUUAAUCGACGAAGCCGAUUAUGUCAAUUCCUCAACAGAAAAUAUUUCCAAUGCGCAGGAAAGAAUGCAUCCUCCCAUUACCGUCAGUAACAUCAGAAAUAUCGUCGUACAACACAACUCUCACUGCUGAUAUUAUGAGAUUGUUAUUAUUAUUAUUAAAUAUUUCGAAAAUCCAUCUUAAAAGCAUCAGUGAUUUUAUUACAGUUGAAAAACUUUCGAUUCGCGCGUACGAGCGGAACAAGAACGUUCCAGGCCGAAUCUCUUACCGCGCGCGUAACAGCGCGCUUAUCGCGCGAGAUAACGCUCGCGCAGAUAUCAGACUCGCCUUCACCUCGUAACGCGGUGCGGAUAAACAAAGCGUUAUGCCACGUUUAUAGCAGAUACUUUCCUCGAGUUAUCAUUAUGUGAAAAUGCCAAUUUAGAAAAUUAGCACAGCAACUUCAAACAAAUAAGUCUUGAUUACGGUGAAAAUAUGAUUUACUGCUCUUGGCCGUGGAAUAACCACCGAUUUGCUAUUUCAUUCAUCCAGCGAUCUGACGCAACGUCAUUAAAACGCGACUCGCCAUCAACGUUCGCGUCCUAUAAUCAUCGCAUUCCAGUAAGUACAUUCGUGACGCCGCAAAAGGAAACCGAAUAGGGCGACGAGAACGUGAAAAUCCGGGAACGCGCCCUGCGAGAAUAUCGACUCGACCGUCAAAGCUUUUCCACGGUCGCGUAAGUACGGCCGCCCGCGCGGCGCGGCGCCGCACCGCGCGCUUCUGGAGCGGCGCGUAUAACCUCCAAACGCGACGCGUACUCGCCACCGCGGUGGAAACGCGUCGUUGCGCGAGAGGUGUUCCACGUUGAAGGGAGACCGUCGAAGGAUCAAGAGGAUCGACAUCGUGAUCCAGCCUUGGCCGUGGCCACGCGAUCGAAAGCGCGCGCGACGAAAGGACGCGGCGCGAUGCGCGACACACGUCACGAUGGUCGACCGAAAUUAACCCCCUCUCGAAAGAAAAGAAAAA